GACGAACGCUGGCGGCAUGCCUAAUACAUGCAAGUCGAGCGAACAGAUGAAGUGCUUGCACUUCUGACGUUAGCGGCGAACGGGUGAGUAACACGUAAGGAAUCUACCUAUAAGCGGGGGAUAACAUUCGGAAACGGGUGCUAAUACCGCAUAAUAUCUUCUUCCGCAUGGAAGAAGAUUGAAAGACGGCUCUGCUGUCACUUAUAGAUGACCUUGUGGUGCAUUAGUUAGUUGGUGGGGUAACGGCCUACCAAGACGAUGAUGCAUAGCCGACCUGAGGGGGUGAUCGGCCACAUUGGGACUGAGACACGGCCCAAACUCCUACGGGAGGCAGCAGUAGGGAAUCUUCCGCAAUGGGCGAAAGCCUGACGGAGCAAUGCCGCGUGAGUGAAGAAGGCCUUCGGGUCGUAAAACUCUGUUAUAAGAGAAGAACAAAUUGUAGAGUAACUGCUACAGUCUUGACGGUAUCUUAUCAGAAAGCCACGGCUAACUACGUGCCAGCCGCCGCCGUAA
RNAcentral lists this ribosomal RNA (513 nucleotides) under uncultured bacterium. Its description in RNAcentral is "partial 16S ribosomal RNA". It matches the Rfam family "Bacterial small subunit ribosomal RNA", at positions 28 to 523 of the family's 1533-position model. The record is from RNAcentral.